Molecule: small RNA, 78 nt
Filed under: Flavobacterium xinjiangense
Lineage: Bacteria; Pseudomonadati; Bacteroidota; Flavobacteriia; Flavobacteriales; Flavobacteriaceae
Description: Flavo-1 RNA
Rfam family: Flavo-1 RNA
Source: RNAcentral
UUUUAGCCCCGAUAGAAGCGACAUCCUUUUUCUGGCUUCUUUAGCCAGGAAAAGAUAUAGCGGAUAGCGGGAUUAGCU